CUCCAGGUAACUUUGGGACCUGUCAGCUGUGUCAGUCUCUAUUUCAAGCCAUGGAAGAGCAUAUUCUUGUUUAUUGGCAAAGCUGGCACCAUUUAAUUCUGACUUGAACAAAUAACAUUC
This is a small nucleolar RNA of Choloepus didactylus (southern two-toed sloth), 120 nucleotides long. RefSeq annotates it as small nucleolar RNA SNORA24. NCBI's taxonomy places the organism in Eukaryota, Metazoa, Chordata, Mammalia, Pilosa, Megalonychidae. The transcript has a single exon. The record is from RefSeq and is a predicted model, not a curated record.